Molecule: ribosomal RNA, 468 nt
Filed under: uncultured bacterium
Lineage: Bacteria
Description: bacterial SSU rRNA
Rfam family: Bacterial small subunit ribosomal RNA
Source: RNAcentral
CCAGACUCCUACGGGAGGCAGCAGUGAGGAAUAUUGGUCAAUGGACGAAAGUCUGAACCAGCCAUGCCGCGUGCAGGAAGACGGCUCUAUGAGUUAUAAACUGCUUUUGUACAAGGGUAAACCUGAAUACGUGUAUUCAGCUGAAAGUACUGUACGAAUAAGGACCGGCUAACUACGUGCCAGCAGCCGCGGUCAUACGUAGGGUCCAAGCAUUAUCCGGAGUGACUGGGUGUAAAGAGUUGCGUAGGUGGCAUAAUAAGUAACUAGUGAAAUCUGGUGGCUCAACCAUUCAGACUAUUAGUUAAACUGUUAAGCUCGAGACCGUGAGGGGUAACUGGAAUUUCUAGUGUAGGAGUGAAAUCCGUAGAUAUUAGAAGGAACACCGAUAGCGUAGGCAGGUUACUGGGACGGUUCUGACACUAAGGCACGAAAGCGUAGGGAGCAAACGGGAUUAGAUACCCCUGUAAA